RNAcentral lists this long non-coding RNA (2725 nucleotides) under Oryzias javanicus (javanese ricefish). RNAcentral's name for it is "lncRNA (ENSOJAG00000016341.1)". The record is from RNAcentral. Lineage: Eukaryota; Metazoa; Chordata; Actinopteri; Beloniformes; Adrianichthyidae.
AAGUGGUACAUUUAACAAGGUAUGAAGGAAACACUAUUUAGUGUAAGGAAAUAGGAAUGCAUUGAAAGGAGAAAAAGAGCGUGACUUCUUUGGUACCACUCCCUAAAACUCUGAACACCACCCCUUCCAGAAAAAAACUUACUGACAUUGUAUUUUUUUUCAUGAUGGGUCCAUUGUGUGAGCUAUUCCCUCCCCCUUGUUUUAAAUAGUGAUGCAGAGACAACAGGUGUCACAGCCUCACCUGGGAGCCUACUGAGAGCAUCAGAGACCUUGGAAUACAAUUGCAACGGAUCUUUAUACUGAUCACCCUCAGCACUUACAACUGCUCCAUCCUUCAUCUGCACACAAGACUAUCUAGGCAUGGACAAGUACAGACUACUGCUCGGCGUCCUCUUUGUGACUCUGUCUUGGAGUUGUAUGCAGACAUAUGCUCAGAGUACAACCACCGCAAACGCAACAACACCAGGAGCAAACGCAACAACACCAGGAGCAAACGCAACAACACAAGGAACAAUGGCAACAACACAAGGAACAAUGGCAACAACACAAGGAACAAUGGCAACAACACAAGGAGCAAUCACAACGAGGAGCACAAUGCUGUAAACAAUCCAAUCCAUUGCAACAACACCUCAGUGGAAACUCUUGCAACAACUGUUAACAGAAAUGAAUGUGGAAAGACACAGCUGUGUGCAGCAGAGCCUUCUACAUGUGACCCAUCAGCAGGUGCAUCAUGCUUCUUUCUUGGUGCCCAGAAAAAGGAUGGUAACAACUUUGAGUUUGCACUCUCUGGAGAGUCUGAUGGGUACAUUGCAGCAUCUGUGUUGAGUCCUUUCAAUAACAAAGAAGUUACUUAUAUCUGUGCAAACAAAAACAAUGCAGUGAAGUUUUUUGGUGCUGUUCUGGAAAACGGAGGACUAACCAUAACAAAUGUCAGUGCGAACUCUGUGAAGGGCAAAGUGAAUGGCAAAAAAAUCCAGUGUACAUUCUUGGCCACAGUACCAGACACAAAUAUUCCAGCAACCAAGAGAGCACGUAGAGCAACAGACGUCACCCUCUCUGUCUCAACUGGACCAUUCAAUGCAAGUUCAGACAGUCCAGGAGCACCAACCAGAGUCAUAAAAGCAGCCGUUGCAGACCUGGCAAAUGCGAAUAUCACUGUUUCUAAUGACAUUACUAACUCAACAAACACAACUACUGCCCCGACGACAAACACAACUACUGCCCCGACGACAACCACAACUACUGCCCCGACAUCUGCAGUUGGAUCUCUCCAGACAGAUCUCAAUAGCACUGACUGCGGAUCGGGAAAACUUUGCGCAUCUGAGCCCAAGUCAUGCAACCCUGCUACUGGCAACACCUGCUCCUUUUUGUCUGCUAAGCAGAAGAGUGGUCAGAUCUAUUCCUUUGAGCUUUCAGGACUGUCAGAUGGUUACAUCGCCUCUGCCGUAUCAACUGACACUACCGCGGGUAAUGGAGACUCAACCUACGUGUGUGCCAACAACAAUGGUGCAGUUAAAUUCAUCACUGCCAUCUUCAACAAUUCUCAGUUGACUGAGACGUCGCUGAACGUAACAUCUGGCUCUGUGUAUGGCAAGAUUAAAGGCAGACAAAUCCAGUGUGUUUUUGAGGCCACACUUCCAGACACCACUACUCGCGCAGCGACCUAUUCAAUGAUAGUCAUGAAUGGAAGUUACGAUCCCACUGCAAAUUCUUUGGGAAAACCUGUUGUUCUGGUGAGAACCAAUCUUGUAAACUUGUCAGAUCCUACAGCAAAUACACCAACCUUGCUUCUGGAGUGGCACCGCACUACCAUCCGUUAAUGCAAGCUCUGCUGAUCACUUUUGGCAUCCUGGUUCUCACCAUGUUUGGACACUGAUAGAAACCAUGUGACACUUCUCAUCCAUCAGCAAAUGCCUGUGAAUGUAAACUUUGAAGAUUUUAUAGAAGAUAACCUGUGGACAGAGCACUCUCCACAGAUUUCCUUUAAAGCCAUAUAGUACAACUUUGUUAUGUAGCUUUCUGAUGUCUGUAUGAGUUUGUAACCGUAGCAAACAACACAGAAGAGUUCAAUGUCUUGUGUGCAAGUAUUUAAAUGCAUGAAUGUUGGAUUUCUUCUCCUUCAUAAAAGGGUUUAAAAUAUCCAAAUCAAAAUUUCAGACUCAAAUUAAAAAAAAAAAAAAGGCGCUCAUAAAACUUACCUAAAAGUUGCAAACCAAAUUACUGUUUUUCACAAGCAUUGUAUAAUUUAUGAAAAAUGGGUUUUAAGGUCUGGUUAUCUCUAAAACCCUUGUCCUUUCUGUAUUGGACUAAAAUCUGACCAAAAGCUUUGAUUAUUUUAAUUUUUUCGUGUUUUGAUCAUAAUGAUGUAAUUGUAUCAGAGGUAUAUUUUUGCUUCAUUCUUUCAAUGAAUUAAAGUAUCCUGUAAGAAAUAAUCCUUUUGAUAUUUUACCAUGAAGUCAUUUCUGGCUGAUAUUUUUUGUGUGUAUAUAUUUGUGAGUGUAAAUGUGUUACAAUGAAAUUAAAUAUGUUAUCUAAAAUUAUUAAAAGGGAUUUUACAUAUUGCAAACUACUUUUGACCUCACAUUAAUGGUUUGGAAAUAAAGAAUUAAGACAAACUGAUGAUGUCAAUUUGGUUUGUUUGAUGUCAGCGCGCAAAUUGUAUCAAUGAAGCGAUCUUUUGAAAUAGUAACAACCACUGGAGAGCAUCUUGCUAUGGAUGAAUGUU